Molecule: ribosomal RNA, 253 nt
Filed under: uncultured bacterium
Lineage: Bacteria
Description: partial 16S ribosomal RNA
Rfam family: Bacterial small subunit ribosomal RNA
Source: RNAcentral
UACAGGGGGUGCAAGCGUUAAUCGGAAUUACUGGGCGUAAAGCGAGCGUAGUCGGUUAUUUAAGUCGGGUGUGAAAGCCUCGGGCUCAACCUGGGAAUUGCAUUCGAUACUGGAUAGCUAGAGUUCGGCAGAGGGAAGCGGAAUUUCCGGUGUAGCGGUGAAAUGCGUAGAUAUCGGAAGGAACAUCAGUGGCGAAAGCGGCUUCCUGGACCAGAACUGACGAUCAGGCUCGAAAGCGUGGGGAGCAAACAGG